ACAGGUUGGUAUCUCAGGAAUU
RNAcentral lists this microRNA (22 nucleotides) under Strongylocentrotus purpuratus (purple sea urchin). RNAcentral describes it as "spu-miR-125-3p". Its record names the gene spu-miR-125-3p. The record is from miRBase by way of RNAcentral. Lineage: Eukaryota; Metazoa; Echinodermata; Echinoidea; Camarodonta; Strongylocentrotidae.